CGAAGUUAGCGAUCUAGUAGUAGUAUAGAUAUCUGUGAGAGUAACCGAAGCAGUCGCCAUCUUCUUGUUGCUGGUCUUUGGAGCAUCGUCGUUUGGAUAGAACAAAAUUGAUUUGUAAUAAAUUCGUCAAUCAGAAAUCUUGUCUAUCUGAUCACGAGGAGUAAAUUCGUGAAAGGAAGAUGAGUUAUGGAAGACCGCCGCCCCGCAUCGAUGGGAUGGUCUCUCUGAAAGUCGACAAUCUUACAUACAGGACAACGCCGGAAGAUCUUAGGCGCGUGUUUGAGCGUUGUGGUGAAGUCGGCGAUAUUUACAUCCCCCGCGAUCGCUUCACGCGCGAAAGUCGCGGCUUCGCAUUUGUCAGAUUUUACGAUAAGCGUGAUGCGGAAGAUGCAUUAGAUGCUAUGGAUGGAAGGCUGUUAGAUGGUAGGGAACUCCGAGUUCAAAUGGCGCGUUAUGGACGUCCGACGUCUCCUCAUCGAAGCCGCGGAAGUCGCCGUCGUGGAAGAUCACGUAGUAGAAGUAGGGAUCGUAGACGUUCUCGAUCUCGAUCCCGCAGUAGAUCGCGUAGUCGCGAUAGAGAUCGCAGGCGCUCCUAUAGUCGCAGUCGCAGUCGUUCUCGUUCUGAUAGUAAAAGCUCGCGCGGAAAAUCACGCUCACGUAGCAAGUCGCAGGACAGGCAAAAGGAUAGCCGUUCCAAAUCUAGGGACUGAGCUUGUCCAAGAGCGUAUAAGAGGAUAACAAUGAGUGCGCGCGCAUCCAACGAGAGCCGAAUAAUCUGUGUUGAGAUUGCAAAAGGCGGUGGAAAGGAGUGGCGUGGCGCGGGUGUAGCCGAUGAUGGGGUAGCUGAGAGUAAGCAGUAAGCCGAGUAGCAGGGGGCUGUAAGCAGUUUGCAGUAGCGAGAAAAAGAGAGCGGUGUUGGUGGUGCGGUGCGGUGCGGUGCGGUGCGAUGCGGUGCGGUGCGGUGCGAUGCGGUCCGGUCCGGUACGCUCCGAUAAUCGAGUGAUCCGAUGGUUCGUUCAAGGCGGGUUUGCGAAAAAUCAGGGCAAGAUAGUGGGGAGUACACACGCACGUACAUAUACACAUGAACAUACAUAUACACGCGCGCGCGCGCGCGAACACACACACACACAUGCAUGGCACACACACAUGUAUGUAUGUUUGUAUGU
Formica exsecta is the source of this 1166-nucleotide RNA transcript. It is a transcript of the gene named serine/arginine-rich splicing factor 2, with no coding region annotated. Lineage: Eukaryota; Metazoa; Arthropoda; Insecta; Hymenoptera; Formicidae. The transcript has 5 exons. The record is from RefSeq and is a predicted model, not a curated record.